This 5577-nucleotide long non-coding RNA is filed under the name Brassica rapa (field mustard). Its description in RNAcentral is "long non-coding RNA (BRAP_LNC001008)". The record is from RNAcentral. Lineage: Eukaryota; Viridiplantae; Streptophyta; Magnoliopsida; Brassicales; Brassicaceae.
GCAAGGCCAUCAGCAAUAACAUUUUCUAACCGAGAGAUCCAUCCAAACGAGAUGGUCUCAAACUCAGAAGCUAAAGCUACAAUAUCUGAUACAAUUCCAUAGAUCUCUGGCAUUGGUUCUAUUGAAUGAAAGAAUCGAAUGAAUUGAUUAACCAAAGUUAGUUACAAUCAAGUGUAUAUAUAUACACGGUUUAAGCAAAAGGAAACUAAACCGUAUUGGUUAUCUAAUUUAAACCGGUAUUAUACAAUAUGCCCCGGUCAAGUCUCUGAAACUGAAGGUGAAGGCGGAAGGAAGAGACUUGAGAUGGACAUCCUGUUAAGAAUAGAAUGAAACGGUCCAGAGUGUAGAGGCUUCGUCAUGAUGUCAGCAUGUUGAUCAGCACUAGGAACAUGCAUCAAUGUGAUGAAGCCUUUCUUGACCUGAUCACGAACUGUGUGACAAUCUAUCUCCACAUGUUUAGUUCGCUCAUGAAAGACCGGAUUGGUGGCUAUAUACAUCGCAGACUUAUUGUCACAGAAGAGCUUCGCAUUUGUUGAAACCUUGAUGUGAAGACUCGUGAGAAGCUGUUGUAACCAGAUGAGCUCACAAGUAGCAUGUGCCAUGCUCCGAUACUCAGCUUCAGUACUACUACGGCUCACGACAUCCUGUUUCUUCGACUUCCAGGUUAUCAAGGAGUUUCCAAGGUAGACACAAUAGCCCGUGAGUGAACGUCUACUAUCAGGACAGGUUUCCCAGUUAGCAUCUGAAAACGCAUUUAGGCAUAACCGUGAAGAAGCAGAGUAGAAAAGUCCUUGCCCGGGAUUGUUCUUAAUGUAGCGUAGUAUCUUGUGAGCUGCUUCAAGAUGAACAUCAGUAGGAGAUUGCAUGAAUUGGCUCAGACAAUGUACCGCAAAAGUGAUAUCCGGACGAGUGAUUGUGAGGUAUAGAAGACGUCCAAUCAAAGCGCGAUAGCUGGUAGGAUCUUGAAGCAGAGUACCAGAAUUUUUACUCAACUUUACCAGAGGAUCCAUAGGAACAGAACUUGGUUUACAAGCAAGAAGACCAGCAUCUGAUAGAAGACUCAAUGCGUAUUUCCGUUGAGAGAUAGAGAUGCCUUCAGAUGAUCUUGCAAUCUCCAAUCCAAGGAAGAAACGAAGUUGUCCAAGAUCUUUAAUCUUGAAGCGAGAGCUCAGAGUCUUCUUUAGAGACGCAACCUCUUCAUCAUUGUUGCCAACGAUCAUAAUGUCGUCGACAUAGACAAGAGCUGCCGUGAAAAUGGAACCAUUAUGCUUAACAAACAGUGUGUUGUCCGCCGGAGAUUGAGUAUAACCAGCUGCCAAAAACACUGAUGAGAGACAGUGAUACCACUGGCGUGAAGCUUGCUUCAACCCAUAUAGUGACUUGUGAAGUCGACAGACUGGAUUAGGAGGAAGAGUGCCAGAAGCGGGUACAUAACCCUGAGGAAUGCUCAUAAAGAUUUCCUCAUCAAGAUCACUAUGCAAAAACGCAUUAGAGACGUCCAUUUGAGACAUGCUCCAUCCUUGUAUAGCAGCAAGACCAAAAAGAAGUUUCACACUAGUUAGUUUAGCCACAGGUGAGAACGUAUCAGUGAAGUCGACACCUUCUUGUUGUGUGAAACCUUUAGCUACCAAACGAGCUUUAUAUCGUUCUAUGGUGCCGUCUGCAUUGUACUUAAUGGUAUAUACCCAUUUGCAACCAACCACAUUCUUACCAGGAGGUAAAGAUUCAACUGUCCAAGUUCCAUUUGUCUCCAUAGCCUGCAACUCAUCAACCGUGGCUUUUCGAAAAUUUGGAGAUAACAUGGCCUGCUUAAAAGAUGUUGGUUCUGUCUCAAGAGAAUAGGAAAGCACAUAUGACUUAUAAAGGGAUUGAAGUUUGUCAUAUGCAAGAACAGAAGAAAGAGGAUAUGAAAUCGAAGAUGAUGGUAAAGAAGAUGAAGGGGUUAGAGCAAAGUUACUCUGAGCAAGAGCGCAAUGGUACUGAGAUAAGUAACCAGGGGCUCUUGUAUGACGCUUAGGUCUGUCACCGAGUAGUCGUCCUUGUCCUGUAGUAACUGGAACAGUCUCUCUAUGUAUAUUUGUGGCAUUAGGAACUACAGGUUUUGGAACUACUGAGUCAAGAACAACAGGAAUAGGAGCAGGUAAGAUAGUCCUAUCAAAGAUGUUCAGAGAAGGUGAAACAGAGAAAGAUGUAUCAAGAAAUGGAAAUGUAUUUUCAUGAAAAACAAUGUUUCGUGUAACAGAGAUCUUAUUGGAAUCGAGAUGUAACACUUUAUAUCCUUUGUAACCACUCGGAUAACCCAAGAAAACACAUUUAUCAGCUCUAGCAGAGAAUUUGUUCCGAUCUUUAAGCAAAGUAGAUGCAUAGCAUAAGCAGCCAAACGUUUUAAGAAACAAGUAAUCAGGAACUCUCUUUUGCAGUAGCUCAUAAGGUGUUUUAUCAUUUAACAGAGGAGAUGGAGUUCGAUUAAUAAGAAAGACAGCAGUGCAGAUGCAAUCACUCCAGUACACAAGCGGAAUGUUAGAUUGAAAUAACAAGGCUCUUGCCACAUUGAGAAUAUGCUGAUGCUUUCUCUCCACAACAGAGUUUUGUUGUGGAGUAUAAGCACAUGAGUAUUGAUGAAAGAUGCCAUGUUUCUGAAUGAGAUUAGUGAAGGCAAGUUCAGGUGCAUUAUCACUACGAAUUGCCUUAAUAUCAGUGUUAUAUUGUGUUUUAACAUGCUGAACAAAGAUUGGAAAGACUGUUAAAACUUCUGAUUUAUUUUUCAUCAUAUAAACCCAAGUAGCUCGUGUACAAUCGUCAACUAAAGUAAGAAAAUAUUUGUAACCUUCUAUUGACUCAAUACCAAAAGGACCCCACACAUCCAAGUGAACCAAAUCAAAAGCAGAUUUUGACAUGUUGUUAUUUGAGACAAACGGUAAUCUCUUUUGUUUAGCUAAUGGACAAACAGGACAAACUUCAGACUUAUGUAAACUCGACGUGGUGAUAGGCAAUGUACCAGUAAGAGACUUUAACUUGGAAGUUGAUGGAUGGCCAAGGCGUUGAUGCCAUAGGUUCCCAUCUACUUGCAAGGAUCCACAGAAUUCCAGAGAAGAAUCAACAGCAGGUUCAAGAACAUAAAGAUUGCGCAAUAAACGUCCUCUACCAAUCAUCAAGCCCUGAGUAGACUCCUGUAGCAAGCAAUGAUCAGGAUAAAAGUGAGCAGAAGAAUGAUUGUCACGCAAAAGUGUACAGACACUAAUAAGAUUGAACCGGAAAGAUGGAACAUGUAAAACAUUAUGCAAGGUGAGAGAUUUUGACAAUUGUACAGUUCCAAUAUGAGAUAUUGUUUCCCUAAUGCCAUUAGGGAGAGAGACUGUAACACCAGUUACAGGAGAAGUCUGAGUAAACAGUGACAAAUCUGAGCACACAUGCGUAGUUGCCCCACUGUCAAUUAUCCAAGCACCAUUAGGCAUUGUGUUUGAAAGAGAGGAAAGACAUUGGUGUUGAAAGGUGAGGAUUUUGUUAUCAAAACGAAGGCUAGUCGAGGGAAAUGAAAUGGUUACAUUUGGGAAUGAAGAAGGAGGUGUAAAAGAGACAUUACCAGCUGAAGAUUGAGGAUCCAUGUAUCCAUUUUCAUUCACCGUCGAUUGUUGAGUUGUCACAGCGUUGAUAGUAGGUGGCAUAAAAGCCUGGAGUUGUUGAAUUAGAGAUUGAAGUUGGUUCCUGUCCAUUUGUCCUGAGGACUGACCAGACUGCUCAGGAAGAACACUCGCCGCAACAUUCUGAUUAGCAUAUUGUUGUUGCUGAGGUGCGAAGUUCUGAAACUGAGGUUGUGGUUGUUGAUAGUUGUUCUGUCCUCGUGGGAUGAAUCCGGAUGGUGGAGCAGAAGAUCUGUUGUUGCGAUGACCAGGAGGAUAUCCAUGGAGUUUGAAACACUUAGCAACCACAUGACCGAGUUGACCACAAUAGGUACAAAGAGGUCUUGAUUUUGGGCGAAAGCCACCAGUAGAUUGAGUAGCAGCUAUAACCGGAUUCUCUGAUGGAGGAGCAGUAACAGAGACAGGUUCAGAAGGGCCUGAGCUCUGGAAGACAGCAGUAGCCGGUGUUGAUGGCUUGAUAGAUUUCUGCCUUUCAUCCUGAAUGACAAGAUUGAAAACAUCUUCAAUGGAAGGAAUCGGCUUGAGCAUUAGGAUGUGGCGACGAGUAGGCUCAUAUGCUUCAUUGAGACCCAUCAAGAAUUUAGUCACACGGCUUCGUAGUUGAAGAUUCUCCCAUAAAACCGCUGCAUUGCAUUCACAACGGCCACAAGUGCAAACUGGCAAAUCAACAUAGUUCUUGUAUUCUUCCCAUAACGUGACCAAUGCAGUAUAAUAGGUGCUAAUGUCCAUUGAACCUUGUUGUAGUCGACUCAAUUGCUGUUCAAUCUCAUAAACCCGCGGAGCAUCUUCUUGUUUGAAUCGCGAGAUUAUAUUUUUCCAGAUCGAUUCAGCAGUCGUCAUGAACAAGAGACUUUGACCUAUCUUCUUCGAUACAGAGUUCAUAAGCCAUGUAGCUACCAUAUCGUUACAGCGAGACCAAGAACCAGCAUCCCUAUGACUAUCUGGAGGUUUAGGAAUCGUACCAUCGAUAAAACCGAGUUUGUUACGGACGUUAAGAGCCAUACGCACCGAGCGACGCCAGGAAUGGAACUCCGCACCAGAAGAGAGGCGAUCGGAGACCAAGAUAAGACCAGCAUGAUCGGAGCUAUGAAGAUAGUAGGGAUUCUCGUAAUGAUCCAAAAAAGUAGCGUCCGAAGUGGGAAGAGGAUUCAUAGCAACGAAGAUGAAGACGAGAGAUGAAGAUGAGAGCUCAAUCCAAGUGAAGAAUCGACGCCAGAGAUCGAGUAUUCUUGAUUCAGAACGCGGAAAGAAGAACCAAGAGGAAGUAGACGAAAGCGAUAAGUUCCAGCUCGAGAAGAAUCAAAUCACCGAUGAACUGAAGAAGAAUCUGAGAACAAGAGAGACUCAUGAUGAUCGAAAGCACAGAAUCACCAUGAGAGUGAAGGUCUCAGCUCUGAUACCAUAUUGAAUGAAAGAAUCGAAUGAAUUGAUUAACCAAAGUUAGUUACAAUCAAGUGUAUAUAUAUACACGGUUUAAGUAAAAGGAAACUAAACCGUAUUGGUUAUCUAAUUUAAACCGGUAUUAUACAAUAGGUUCUUCGUUCCUGAUACAAGCAAUCAGUUGCUUAGAGUCUGCUUCACACCUGAUCCGAUGGACUCCCAUCUCUUUACACUUCACAAGUGCUGCUCGCAUCGCAAUACUCUCCGCCAUCAGGGGCGUGGAGACAUGCUCUUCUACUGCUGAGAAUUUGAUCGGUCCAUUCUCUCCAUAGAUGACCCAUCCCAGACCUGCAACAUUGCGAUCUCCCUUCCAAGAAGCAUCAGAUCUCAUUAAAAUAGUAUUUUCUACGUUCACUGGUGACAAGUCGGUUGUCCUCUGCUUUUGUGGGGCUUUAACUUGACCAUUCUGCCAUUCUCUCGCUGCUACUAUUGCAUUAGUGAAGAUCUCUGUUGCUGGGAAAGAAUGGGCAUCAAAGAUAACUAACGAGCUACUAAA